UUAAGCUAAUAAGAGCGCAGGGAGGAUGCCUUGGCAUCAGGAGCCGAUGAAGGACGCGGUAAGCUGCGAAAAGCUCCGGGGAGUGGCAAGCACACAUUGAUCCGGAGAUGUCCGAAUGGAGCAAUCCACAUGAGUGAAGCUCAUGUAUCAUAUACUGAAUAAAUAGGUAUAUGAGGGGAACCGUCUGAACUGAAACAUCUAAGUAGGACGAGGAAAAGAAAUCAACCGAGAUUCCGCUAGUAGUGGCGAGCGAACGCGGAAGAGGCUAAACCAGAGUCAGCAAUGACUUUGGGGUUUGGACUGCAUUUAGUAUCAAUGAGGUCUAGUCGAAGUACAUGGGAAGGUACAUCGAAGAGGGUGAGAAUCCCGUAGACGAAAGAUCAAGUUGGCGAGCAGUAUCCAGAGUACCGCCGGACACGUGAAACCCGGUGGGAACAUGGGGGGACCAUCCUCCAAGCCUAAAUACUACCUGAUGACCGAUAGCGCAUAGUACUGUGAAGGAAAGGUGAAAAGAACCCCGGGAGGGGAGUGAAAGAGAGCCUGAAACCCUGUGCUUACAAGCACACAGAGCACGUCAAAGUGUGAUGUGGUACCUAUUGUAGAAUGGUCCGGCGAGUUAUUUUAUGCAGCGAGGUUAAGGACUUAAGGUCUGUAGCCGAAGUGAAAGCGAGUGUUAAUAGCACGAAACAGUUGCAUGCAAUAGACCCGAAACCGGGUGACCUAUCCAUGUCCAGGCUGAAGUGAGGGUAAAACCUCAUGGAGGGCCGAACCGACUCCCGUUGAAAUGGUAGCGGAUGAGGUGUGGAUAGCGGAGAAAUUCCAAUCGAACCCGGAUAUAGCUGGUUCUCCCCGAAACCGUUUUAGGACGGGCCUCGUGUGAAGAUUAUCGGAGGUAAAGCACUGAAUAGCCUAGGGGGCGAGAGCCUACCGAAGCUUAUCAAACUCUGAAUGCCGAAUAAUCGUUUCACGGGAGUCAGACUGUGUGAGAUAAGUUUCAUAGUCAAAAGGGAAACAGCCCAGACCCACAGCUAAGGUCCCAAAGUGUAUUUAAGUGGAAAACGAUGUGAAGUUGCGUAGACAACCAGGAUGUUGGCUUAGAAGCAGCCACUCAUUAAAAGAGUGCGUAAUAGCUCACUGGUCGAGUGACUUUGCGCGGAAAAUUUAACGGGGCUAAAAUACACACCGAAGCUUGGGCUUGACGCUUUUGCGUCAGGGGUAGGGGAGCGUCGUGUAAGGGGCGAAGUCGUAUCGUAAGGGACGGUGGACUUUACACGAGUGAGAAUGCCGGAAUGAGUAGCGAGAAUUAUGUGAGAAUCAUAAUGGUCGAAAGCCUAAGGUUUUUGGAGGAAGGUUCGUCCGCUCCAAGUAAGCCGGGAGCUAAGGUCAGGCGGAAACGCGUAGCCGAUGCACAUACGGUUGAAAUUCCGUAGCCUCAGAAAGAUUUAAGCGAAGGGACACUUUGAAAGGACUGUUGCCGGGUGUUGGUUACCCCGGUCGUAAGGGAACGAAAUUAAGUAGUGAAGGCAGUCUGGACGGAGGCGAGAAAAGCUUCGUGUAUAUCUUAUGAGCCCGUACCGCAAACCGACACAGGUAGGUGGGAUGAGAAUUCUAAGACCAACGGGAGAAGGGUAGUUAAGGAACUCGGCAAAUUGUCCCCGUAACUUCGGAAUAAGGGGAGCCUGCGAAAGUAGGCCGCAGAGAAUUGGCCCAGGCGACUGUUUAUCAAAAACACAGCUCUAUGCUAAAUCGAAAGAUGACGUAUAUGGGGUGACACCUGCCCGGUGCUGGAAGGUUAAGAGGAGAUGUGAGAGCAUCGAAUUGAAGCCCCAGUAAACGGCGGCCGUAACUAUAACGGUCCUAAGGUAGCGAAAUUCCUUGUCAGGUAAGUUCUGACCCGCACGAAUGG
This 1906-nucleotide ribosomal RNA is filed under the name human gut metagenome. RNAcentral describes it as "bacterial LSU rRNA". It matches the Rfam family "Bacterial large subunit ribosomal RNA", at positions 3 to 1999 of the family's 2925-position model. The record is from RNAcentral.